AUAAUGAGGUGAUGUACGAUGCGUUAUUUAGAACCGUUCAUGUGCGUCAUUGCUGUGAGAAAGGAAGGAGAGAAUGCGCUUAGUGGCAUGCUUAAAAAUGUCAUUGGAACUCUUGAUUUUCGUUUCAAGUACAUGUUACAGGGGGAGACUUAUCCUGAGGAAUUUUUAUAGACAGAUGUGUAUCGGUUUAGCACCUAACAUGGCAUAAUCUCAAACAUAAUUGUUGCCAAAAGUGCACGUCAACAAGGUAUAAAGCAGUUAUACUUACAUGUCUAUCGGGAUAACAAACCAGCAUUAACACUAUACAUAAAGAUGGGAUUUGGGGUA
Molecule: long non-coding RNA, 327 nt
Organism: Papaver somniferum (opium poppy)
Lineage: Eukaryota; Viridiplantae; Streptophyta; Magnoliopsida; Ranunculales; Papaveraceae
Exons: 3
Source: RefSeq, a predicted model, not a curated record